Molecule: ribosomal RNA, 2276 nt
Filed under: human gut metagenome
Description: bacterial LSU rRNA
Rfam family: Bacterial large subunit ribosomal RNA
Source: RNAcentral
AGGGCGCAUGGCGGAUGCCUUGGCUCUCGGAGGCGAUGAAGGACGUGAUAAGCUGCGAUAAGCUUUGGGGAGGUGCAAAUGACCUUUGAUCCAGAGAUUUCCGAAUGGGACAACCCAAUAUCUUGAAGAGGUAUUAUCCAACUUUGUUGGAGGCUAACGCAGGGAACUGAAACAUCUUAGUACCUGCAGGAAAAGAAAAUAAAUAAUGAUUCCCCUAGUAGUGGCGAGCGAACGGGGAUUAGCCCAAACCACCCAUGUUACGGCAUGUGUGGGGUUGUAGGACCACGCUCUCGCAAGACAGUUAUUGAGAAGAAACGACUGGAAAGUCGUGCCAUAGACGGUGAUAGCCCGGUAUUCUAAGGUAACCGAAGCGUAGUGGUAUCCUGAGUAGCGCGGAGCACGAGGAAUUCUGCGUGAACCAGCCGGGACCAUCCGGUAAGGCUAAAUACUCCCGAGAGACCGAUAGCGAACCAGUACUGUGAAGGAAAGGUGAAAAGCACUUCGAAUAGAAGAGUGAAAUAGUCCCUGAAACCAUGCGCCUACAAGCGGUCGGAGCAGCUUAAGUUGUGACGGCGUGCCUUUUGCAUAAUGAACCUACGAGUUACUUUUUCCGGCAAGGUUAAGCAUCUUGAGAUGUGGAUCCGAAGCGAAAGCGAGUCUGAACAGGGCGGAUAGUCGGAAGGAGUAGACGCGAAACCAAGUGAUCUACCCUUGGGCAGGUUGAAGGUUAGGUAACACUAACUGGAGGACCGAACCGAUAAGCGUUGAAAAGCUUCCGGAUGACCUGAGGGUGGGGGUGAAAGGCUAAUCAAACUUGGAGAUAGCUCGUACUCCCCGAAAUGCAUUUAGGUGCAGCCUUGCGGGUUACUGAUGUGAGGUAGAGCGACUGAUAAGAUGCGAGGGCUUCACCGCCUAUCAAGUCUUGAUAAACUCCGAAUGCGCAUUAGUUCUAUCUCAGGAGUGAGGGCAUGGGUGCUAAGGUCCAUGUCCUAAAGGAGAAGAAUCCAGACCAUCAGCUAAGGUCCCCAAAUAAACACUAAGUUGAACUAACGAAGUCAGAUUGCUAAGACAGCUAGGAUGUUGGCUUGGAAGCAGCCAUUCAUUUAAAGAGUGCGUAACAGCUCACUAGUCGAGGAGUUUGGCGUGGAUAAUAAUCGGGCAUUAAGUGUUUUACCGAAGCUAUGGGAUACGUAAGUAUCGGUAGGGGAGCAUUCCACUCAGCGUUGAAGGCGAAGCGUGAGCUUUACUGGAGCGUGUGGAAAAGCAAAUGUAGGUAUAAGUAACGAUAAAGGGGGUGAGAAACCCCCUCGCCGCAAGACUAAGGUUUCCUGAUCAACGCUAAUCGGAUCAGGGUUAGUCGGGUCCUAAGGCUCAGCCGAACGGUGAGGCCGAUGGCAGAACAGGUUAAUAUUCCUGUACUACCUAUAAGAGUGAUGUGGAGACGGAGGAGUGACAACGCCGCGGACUGACGGAAUAGUCCGUUAAAGGGUGUAGAUGUUGAUUAUCCCAGGCAAAUCCGGGAUAAGAGUCGAACCUGACAGUAUACCAAUUUCCCCGGAAAACGGUAAUAGUGCGUGUAAACAUACUCCCAAGAAAAUCCGCUAAACUUAAUCUUAUAGGUACCCGUACCGUAAACGGACACACGUAGUCGGGUUGAAUAUACUCAGGCGCUUGAGUGAAUCACGGUUAAGGAACUAGGCAAAUUGACCCUGUAACUUCGGGAUAAAGGGUCCCUACCCGGUGACGGGAGGGCGCAGAGAAUAGGUCCAGGCAACUGUUUAACAAAAACACAGGGCUGUGCAAAAUUGAAAGAUCACGUAUACAGCCUGACACCUGCCCGGUGCUGGAAGGUUAAGAGGAGAUGUCAUCGCAAGAGAAGCAUUGAAUUGAAGCCCCAGUAAACGGCGGCCGUAACUAUAACGGUCCUAAGGUAGCGAAAUUCCUUGUCGGGUAAGUUCCGACCUGCACGAAUGGUGUAAUGAUCUGGACGCUGUCUCAACCGUGAGCUCAGUGAAAUUGUAGUAUCGGUGAAGAUGCCGAUUACCCGCGAUGGGACGAAAAGACCCCGUGAACCUUUACUAUAGCUUAACAUUGAAUUUGGGUAAUUGAUGUGUAGGAUAGGCCGGAGACUUUGAAGCAGGCACGCCAGUGUUUGUGGAGUCGCUGUUGAAAUACGGCCCUUUGGUUAUUUGAGUUCUAACUCGCUGAUGCGAGGACACUGUUUGGUGGGUAGUUUGACUGGGGUGGUCGCCUCCAAAAGCGUAACGGAGGCUUCU